AGUCGAGCGGAGAAUGCGGAUAUGUUUACAUAGAAGCGUUCUUAGCGGCGGACGGGUGAGUAACACGUGGGUAACCUGCCUCAAAGUGGGGGAUAGCCUUCCGAAAGGAAGAUUAAUACCGCAUAAGCCUACAGUAUCGCAUGGUACAGCAGGAAAAGGAGCAAUCCGCUUUGAGAUGGACCCGCGGCGCAUUAGCUAGUUGGUGAGGUAACGGCUCACCAAGGCGACGAUGCGUAGCCGACCUGAGAGGGUGAUCGGCCACAUUGGAACUGAGACACGGUCCAGACUCCUACGGGAGGCAGCAGUGGGGAAUAUUGCACAAUGGGCGAAAGCCUGAUGCAGCAACGCCGCGUGAGUGAUGAAGGCCUUCGGGUCGUAAAGCUCUUUGAUCAGGGAUGAUAAUGACAGUACCUGAAAAACAAGCCACGGCUAACUACGUGCCAGCAGCCGCGGUAAUACGUAGGUGGCGAGCGUUGUCCGGAAUUACUGGGCGUAAAGGAUGCGUAGGUGGAUAUUUAAGUGGGAUGUGAAAUCCCCGGGCUCAACCCGGGAACUGCAUUCCAAACUGGGUAUCUAGAGUGCAGGAGAGGAAAGCGGAAUUCCUAGUGUAGCGGUGAAAUGCGUAGAUAUUAGGAGGAACACCAGUGGCGAAGGCGGCUUUCUGGACUGUAACUGACACUGAGGCAUGAAAGCGUGGGUAGCAAACAGGAUUAGAUACCCUGGUAGUCCACGCCGUAAACGAUGGGUACUAGGUGUAGGAAGUAUCGACCCCUUCUGUGCCGUCGUUAACACAAUAAGUACCCCGCCUGGGGAAUACGGGCGCAAGAAUUAAACUCAAAGGAAUGGAAGGGGGGGCCCGCACAAGCCGCGGAACAUGGGGUUUAUUUCGAAACAACGCGAAAAACCUUCCCUAAACUGGACUUCUCCUUGAAUUCCCCUUAACCCGGGAAAGCCCCUUCGGGGCGGGAAAAAAGGGGG
This 978-nucleotide ribosomal RNA is filed under the name uncultured bacterium. RNAcentral describes it as "bacterial SSU rRNA". It matches the Rfam family "Bacterial small subunit ribosomal RNA", at positions 60 to 1041 of the family's 1533-position model. The record is from RNAcentral.